ACAAGUAGAAGUAAAGUUGGGUAUGACAGAAGAACCCAAAAUCUGAUCACGGACAUGAGAGGAAUCAUCAGAGAGUCCGUAUAAUGCCAACAACAUGAAGAACUUUGAUCAUUGUUCCAGUUCUUCAGCAGGAGUGGAAGCAAGAGGUAAUAGCUCAUUAAAAUCAUGAAGGAGGGCAUGAACUUUACCCAAAUAUUCUGCCAUGGGACCAGGACUGCACGGACCAAUAAUAGUGAAUAGGUCCUGGCAAACACCAUAAAGACGUUAAGGGUCAUUUGUGUAUAACAACUUCGCUUGUGCCCAUACUUCUGAACAUAUUUCAUAUGAUUGAAACAUUUGUUUCAAUGAGGAGUGAAUGGUGGACUUUAUGACGAUGCAUAAUUGGGCAUCAAUUUUCAUCUAGUGAGAAUUGUCAUCUAUGGUAGCACUAGUCACAUUUUGAGUAAGGUGAUCUACAUAACCCUGACUCUUCAACCAAAGUUUGAUGUCGGAUGCCCAUGUUGCAUAAUUUGUGUCAUCUNACUUGUCAAUGGACAAGUG
Molecule: long non-coding RNA, 540 nt
Filed under: Vigna radiata
Lineage: Eukaryota; Viridiplantae; Streptophyta; Magnoliopsida; Fabales; Fabaceae
Description: long non-coding RNA (VRAD_LNC007971)
Source: RNAcentral